RNAcentral lists this transfer RNA (67 nucleotides) under Amphioctopus neglectus. RNAcentral describes it as "tRNA-Lys". The record is from RNAcentral. Lineage: Eukaryota; Metazoa; Mollusca; Cephalopoda; Octopoda; Octopodidae.
UAUUAAGUGGCCGACUAAAAGCACUAGACUUUUAAUCUAGAAAAUGAUUUAUUUGAAUCCUUAAUGG